UCUGGUGACUACAGCAAGGAGGUCACACCUGUUCCCAUGCCGAACACAGAAGUUAAGCUCCUUAGCGCCGAUGGUAGUCGGACUUACGU
RNAcentral lists this ribosomal RNA (89 nucleotides) under Staphylococcus cohnii. Lineage: Bacteria; Bacillati; Bacillota; Bacilli; Caryophanales; Staphylococcaceae. The record is from RNAcentral.